Molecule: ribosomal RNA, 488 nt
Filed under: uncultured bacterium
Lineage: Bacteria
Description: bacterial SSU rRNA
Rfam family: Bacterial small subunit ribosomal RNA
Source: RNAcentral
GACGAACGCUGGCGGCGUGGAUUAGGCAUGCAAGUCGAACGGUAGGAUACCUUCGGGUAUCUGAGAGUGGCGAACGGGUGAGUAACACGUAGGUGAUCUACCCUCAAGAUUGGGACAACCCAGGGAAACUUGGGCUAAUACCGGAUGAAAGCAGCAGUGAUGUUGUUUGAAAGGUGGCGUAAGCUGCCGUUUGGGGAUGAGCCUGCGCUCUAUUAGUUAGUUGGCGGGGUAAAGGCCCACCAAGGCGAUGAUAGAUAGGCGGCCUUAACGGGUGGUCGCCCACACUGGGAUUGAGGUACGGCCCAGACUCCUACGGGAGGCAGCAGUCGAGAAUAGUCUACAAUGGCCGAAAGGCUGAUAGUGCGACGCCGCGUGAACGAAGAAGCCCUUCGGGGUGUAAAGUUCUUUUAUAUGUGAGCAGUGCUUUCUAUGUGAACAGCAUGGGGAGAGAGAUAUUAGCAUAUGAAUAAGCAACGGCUAACUCCGUG